GAGAUCAAGGAUGCUGUUGGGAGUCUGAGAUGUAUCAGAACACAUGUUUGUUUAAAGCCACUGAGUUGGAGCUGCCAGGGAGGAGGAGGAGAGGCAGGGCCCAUGGAGCAUCUAGUGUCAGGAAUAGAGGCUGUUUCAAGAAGGAUGUUUCGAGAAGGAGAGGGAGGUCAAUAGUGUCAAACGUUGCUGAGAAGUGGCUCUGAGCACGGGAUCCCACACUGGGACUUGGCAGCAAGGAUCACAACACCAAGAGCCAUUUGGUGACACAGGGGAUGAAGGCCUGCUCAAGGGCACCGAGGAGAGGGUGGCGGCUGGAGCGCAAUGACGAAAUCUGGGCUCACUGCAACCUCUGCCUCCCAGGUUCAAGUGAUUCUCCUGCCUCAGCCUCCCAAGUAGCUGGGACUAUAGGCAGGCACCACCACACCCAGGAGAUCCCGGGAGGAAAAGAAACUGAGGCUGCACAAGACAGGCAACUGGGUUCCAGUAGUACCAAUUGUGAAGAAACCGAGGCUCAGGGACCCCUGAGAGCAGAGGGAAGGGACGUCAUUCUGCAGAGUGACCAGCAGGGGGCGAGCGGGACUGCUCUGUGGCUCCGAGGACCCAGCGGCAGGUGCACUGCUCUGAGAGUGAACGCUGCCUUACAUUUUGCACGGUAAAGCACCAUGACUCAGAGAAGGCAAGUGACUUGCCUAAAAUCACAGGGCCCACAGAGUCACAGCCAGAAUGCAAGCCUGGGCCCUCAGAUCUGGAGUAUGCCCUCUUCACCAUGGCUCCAGGCACCAAAACUCCAGGUAGCUUUGGAUUUUGUGCUAUCUGUGUUUUAUUUUCCUUAAUAUAUAUUUUAAACGGAC
This 851-nucleotide long non-coding RNA is filed under the name Homo sapiens (human). RNAcentral describes it as "HSALNT0268423". Lineage: Eukaryota; Metazoa; Chordata; Mammalia; Primates; Hominidae. The record is from RNAcentral.